AACCCAUGGUGAGGGCACCUUAUUGACGAAUCCUUGUACCUCUCCCAAGCCUCAUAUAAUGAUUCAAAACCAAAUUACAUGAAAGAGGUGAUAUCAUUCCGUUU
Molecule: small nucleolar RNA, 104 nt
Filed under: Theobroma cacao (cacao)
Lineage: Eukaryota; Viridiplantae; Streptophyta; Magnoliopsida; Malvales; Malvaceae
Description: Plant small nucleolar RNA R71
Rfam family: Plant small nucleolar RNA R71
About the family: R71 is a member of the C/D box family of snoRNAs containing the C (UGAUGA) and D (CUGA) box motifs.
Source: Rfam by way of RNAcentral